UGGACGACUUUCGGCAACGGAUAUCUCGGCUCUCGCAUCGAUGAAGAACGUAGCGAAAUGCGAUACCUGGUGUGAAUUGCAGAAUCCCGUGAACCAUCGAGUCUUUGAACGCAAGUUGCGCCCGAGGCCAUCCGGCCAAGGGCACGCCUGCCUGGGCGUCACGA
Molecule: ribosomal RNA, 164 nt
Filed under: Musa gracilis
Lineage: Eukaryota; Viridiplantae; Streptophyta; Magnoliopsida; Zingiberales; Musaceae
Description: 5.8S ribosomal RNA
Rfam family: 5.8S ribosomal RNA
About the family: 5.8S ribosomal RNA (5.8S rRNA) is a component of the large subunit of the eukaryotic ribosome. It is transcribed by RNA polymerase I as part of the 45S precursor that also contains 18S and 28S rRNA. Functionally, it is thought that 5.8S rRNA may be involved in ribosome translocation.
Source: RNAcentral